UACACAGUAAAAUAUUUUCUGACAAUAUCAUAAAAUACCCAUGUUUUUGAGCUAAUAAAAUAUAAUAAUGGUUAAACGGCAACUACCCGGCACCAGCCUAUCGGAUUGCUUCUAUAAUCAGACAGGGGCAAAUACUCACUUUGCCCCUCCCCUAAAUGACGCCACUGGAAGCGGCUCGUUGACGGAUGGUCUCGAGGUUUUCGAUGUAUACGUGUGGAGACACAAAAAACCUACGGAGGUUACACGCGUGUGUCGUUUGCGAGCAGUACACCAAGGAAUCGAUCGAUCGUCACCGUGACGCUGUCGAAAACCAAUAUGACCAAGCGUCCUAACCCGGUUGUCGACUAUGGAGGGAAUUUAUGAAGUGAUGGCAUAUUAUCAGUCUGGUUACCAGUAAUCGUUUGAAAAAAUAUUAUCAUUAUACGUAUCUAGUAUUCAGCCUGCAGGCAGCACCAUAUUAUUAUCAGUAUCGCGAAUAUAAAUUGUUGUAAGUCCAUAUAAAUACCGUUGUGUUCACUGUUUACCUUUUGGCUUCUAUCUAUAUUAUUAAAAACAGUUAAUGGAAAUCGAAAUUAUUGUUCAUUGUUAUAUCUCUCACCUUGUGUAUUUCACUACUGUCCUCCUGGUUGCUGUCUGUUGUUAACUUUUUACCGAUCACUCAUUUCCCUGACAAAUUUCAAACAUGGACAGAAUAGUGCUAAAAUUUCUAAGCCUCGAUAAUAAACAUCAAUAAUAUUCUCCAUUAUUAAAGUGAAGUAGAAGUUGGGACUACAAUUCAUUCGAAUGAAGAGGGCCUAUAGCAAUUUUAGUUACCACGGUCCACGGUCCAUAACUGAAAAAUAAUCUUAAUACUUUGCAGUGUAAAUAUUUUGAAGUAUGACAAAAUGUGCUCAACAAUAUUAUUUUUGAAAAACAAAGUAUAAAUUUAAGGGAGAAAGAAUGUAAAUAGAUUUAGAAAAUUAAUUCAAAUUAUGAAACUCAAAAAAUAACCACAAGUCUACAACCUUCUUUCAUAUGAGCACUUUUUCAGUUGUAACUAUCAAACUCCAUCAGCAGUAACAGUUUUUCAAGACCAAAACAGUAAUCAAGUAAUAUCUUCUAUUAUCCCCAUCUGGUAUAGGAUAAAAAGUAUUUACAUUUUUUUAGGUCUAAAUGAAUUUAGUUAUAAUGAUAGCAUUGUCGUAUUUUAGAAAAGUCUUAAUUUAAUUUAUUUAUAUGGUAACUAUUUUGUUAUAUAUACAUAUUAUUAUAUUAUAUAAUUUUACUUAAGUAUGUAAUUUAUUUAAAUAAUGAGAGUAUAAUUUUUUACUUAAAUAUAAUUUGUUAAAACAACAGAUAUUAUAGACACUUCCCUCAGUAAUUCAAACAGUGAAGUAUUUCUAAAUUCUCAUUUGUUGUUGGAUAGCACUCAAAUAAGUGAAGUUAUUAAAGUAUUAUGUACUAGAAGUACAUUUUUUUUUCAUUGUUUCAUUAUUUUAUUACCAUUUUAUCACAGUAAAAUAAAGUUGGAAAUGUUAAUUAAUUAGUAUUUUGUUUUGUUUGUUAUAUAUUCUAGCAUUAUAUUUUAUUAAUAUCAGAAAAUAUUUAUUAAGUUUUAUUAUAGUUCAAAAAAAUAUAAAAAAAUAUUGGUUGAAAAUUGCUGGCAGAUGAAAAUCAAAGAUCAACUUAAAAGCUAUUUCCCAUGAAACAAAUGCAUGACAAAUUUAAUCAAUGUUAUAAAUCUAUUACAUCCUCAUCAAGUUGUACACAUAUUUAUAUACUUCUUGCCUCUUGGCUUCCACUAUCUAUAGGUAAAAUGAUUUACAAUAUUUAAAAAUCAGUGGGUUAAUUAAUGUUAAGUGUUCUUAUUUUGUUCCAUAAAACGAUUAUCGAUUUAAAAAAUUAUAUUACAGUUGAAUGAUUAUUGAUAAUUGGUGAUGAUAGCAGUUUCUGUAAUCUACAUUGCUAUAAAAUACUAAAUUAUUUUUAAACAUAAAAUUUUUAAUAAAUUCUAUUUAUCUCAAAUAAAUUUAUAUAUUUAAAUUACAAUUUCUUGUAUUAAUAACAAUUAAUUAUAUUUUAUACUAUAACAUUAAUAUUAUUAACUUAAUUGUAUAAUAUAAUUAUUAUACCUAUAUUUAUGACAGUUACUAAUUUCGAUUUGUAUUUCCAAUGUUUUUGAUUGUUGAAUAUAAUAUUAUUGUUAAAAAAAAGUAGUAACAUUUUAAUUGUAAACAUAAUUAGUCUACUAAAUUUAUUAAAUAUUUAUCAUGUUUGUCUAUAGUAUUAAAUGUCAUUGUUAAUAAUGCUUAGUUGUGUUAAUAAUUUACAUAUAAUGUAAUUAACUUAUAAAUAUUUAAGUUUAUAGACCUCAUUAUAUUAUAUUAUGUUAUUUUAAAAUUAUAAUUAUAAUUAUGUCUAUAUGCCACAAAUAAUUAUAAAUUUUUCAAUUUGUUUUACUUAUAUGAAUACAUUAAUUUAAAUUAUUCUAUUAAAUUUAUUAAUUCAUUAUAUCAUUUUUAAAAUAAUAUAUCAAUAUUUUUAAUUAUAGUUAGUGAAUAUUCAGUAAAAAUAUUUUAAAGGUUGGUAAUCAACAGUGUAAAUAAUUAAUCUGUUGGCAUUCGUUUUAGCCUAAGCAAGUAAAAUAAAAGUUUUGGUUGAUCUCAAGACGCUGAAAUUAUGGUAUCUGUUGCAUGUACUUACGUAUGACUUUUAAAGCCUAUUGUCUAUUACUGAAAUUCACUAACUCAUUUAUGAAUAAUUUAACUAUUUUUUCCUAUGAGUCAUUUGACAUAUUAUUAGAACAUCCUUUUAUUUUUUUUUAUUUUAUUUCCUAAAAUAUAAAUUACAGUUUAUCAAAGAAGUUUAAUAAUUUUUUGAAUUAGUUAAAUUUCAUUUGUUUUAAAUUAUUUAGUAUUAUACUAAAAAUUUGGUCAUAAGUAACUACUUUUGUGCUCAAGAAUAUAAUAUUGAUUUAAUCUAUUCUGUAAUAAUAUGCUACUGUAACAAAUACUAAUAUUUUUUAGAUGUAUCAACUUGGAUUUUGAGAUAAAAUCUUCAAUAAAAUUAAUACUUUCAUCAUUUUCAAGAUAAUGUUAAAUUUCAAUUACUCUUAUUAAGAAACAUUGUAUUAUUUAACCAUUUUUUUUAAAUUGUGUAUUACUAUCAUUAUCAUAUUCUGGAAGAAUCAGUUGUAUGCUUGCAAUUUUAACGAAUAUUUCUCUUAUAGACUUGUGUUAUUUGUUUAUGAUCUAGUUACAUGUCUUACACUAUUAACAAAUAUAUCAGUGUCAUUUUUUGUGGAUGAUAAUAUGAUAUCAAUGCUGAUAUGAUUUUACAUCGUCUACAGCAGGGGUGGAUCUAGAAAUUUUCCAAGAGGGGGUGGUGUAUAUAAUAAAAAGUAAUAUACCUAUAUAUACAUAAAUAUAUUUAAUAUGUAUUUGUUAUAAAUAUUUUUUAGUUAAAAUAAUAACUAUUAAUUAAUUAUGUAUUAUAUUAAUAAUUUAACUUAAUUAGUACUGCCGUAUUAACUUCGACAGUGUUAGUGAUGUUACCGAGAUGACAUAAUUUGCAGUUAAUUAGGGAGUAUGUAGGUUAGCUAUCGUAUCUUAUCUAAAUUAGAUAUGGGUUAUAGUUUAAGUACUCAUUUUCACUAAAUCUGUAGAGCAUUAAUAAUUGUAUGUAGAAUUUUAAAUGAUAUAAAAUAUUGUAUUAAUUUAAAGUUAUAUAAUAUUAUUUAAAGUUAGUGUUAUAAAAAAUACUUUAAAAAUAAUGUUCAAAUAUUUUUAAAACAGUAUUUAAGACUAAUUUAAACACCUACUAUUUUUUGUUUCUUUUACUAGAAAUAAAUUGUUUUAACCUAGGUAUUAUGGUUUUUUUUAUUGUAGUUCAAUAAUUUUCACAAUACUUUUUAUUGGUAGUAUGAAAAAUAUAUUUAAUGGAAGUAUUUAAUAUAAUAAAAUAGUAUUAAAGUUUAUUAAAGUAGAAAGAGUUUUAUAUUUAAAAAUGAAAAAAAGAUAUAGGGUAUUUGAUAAGGAAAAUGCAUAGAAUGUUAGGAAUAAUUUAUAUGAAUAUGGAAUGGAAAUAGAAUGUGUCAUCUAUUCUAAAAUAUAAGAAGAAAGAUAUUAUUUUCCGGAUAAUUUAUGUGUAUUGUAGAUUAAGUAUUUCUAAACCAGGUGGAAAAGAUAAGUUAAUAUUCCAAACUAUUAUAAUCGUAAAAUUACCUAAUUGAAUUAAUAAUAGUGCUGUUCAAUGUUCAUUACAAAAAACAUUUUAGUUAGCCAUAAUAAUUAUAAGUUUCAGGGCCGGAUUUAGGGGACGGAUAGCUGAGUGGGCUGCAGCUCAGGGGCCUCCACAGUUUUAUGCUAUUUUAAUAAAAAAAUAUAUUUUCUUGUUUAUGCAUAAGGGGUCCCCACAAUGUAUUUCGCUCACUGGCCACCACAUACCUAAGUCUGCCCUUGGAAGGUUUAUCAAUAAUUACUAAUUAUAAUAAAAAUAAUGUGGAAAAGUAAUUAACUCUUUAGGUUUGAGGUUCAAUAAGUAAAAAGGUCAUAUCAUAAUAUAUUUUAUAUUUAAAAAAUAAAAAUAUUUUGCCGCGCACCUUCGAAAAUGUAACACACUACUAGUGCCCAUGUGGUGGAAAUAUGAACUAUUUAACCUGUAUAAUAUUAUCUAAGAUUUAACCUAACUUGGUUUGUACGCUCAGGGGCUGACGAUAGGUAACCCGUAUUUCUUAAACCAUGAUAUUAUCAUUUAUAAUCAAUUCGACGCUUCGACGGUCAGAUAGUCUAUUUGAAUUUCACGGUUUAAUUCAAUAAUCAUAAAUUGAAACAAAAAUUUUCUGAACAAGCUGUUACUAUCAUCUGCUCGAGUAAUAAGUUUGGUGGUAAAGAGUUUUACUUUAUACCUAUUCAGUUAUUUAUAACAACAGAUAACUUCAUCAUUAUGGAAAAUAUUGAUGCACUUAUUAAAAAAUACCAGUUGAAAGAAUGUUGUGUUGUACUAAACAGAAUAAACUAUGAUCAGACACUAACAAUAAAAAAUGAAGCAGACGAUAGUACUGAAAACAAUAUUGAUGAUCAGAUUAAUGAAUCUUCAGCGAAUCAAACUUGUAAUGAAUGUUAUAGAAUUUUGAUGAUCCCUGCCAAUACAAAUGAGAAAAUGAAAUCUUGUGAUGUCUGUCUUAUGGAAUAUUCCAAAAAGAAAAAAUUGUAUGAUCAUGUCAAAAAAAGCAUGCUGGAUAGCUUUUUUAGAUGUGAAAUAUGUAAUUUACCAUUAGAUCGAGGCAAUAUUAUUGUUAAUGUUAACAUGGAUUGGGAUAAACGUGAAAAAUGUAA
Molecule: RNA transcript, 5315 nt
Organism: Aphis gossypii (cotton aphid)
Lineage: Eukaryota; Metazoa; Arthropoda; Insecta; Hemiptera; Aphididae
Exons: 8
Source: RefSeq, a predicted model, not a curated record